AUCCCAUGAUGAGGACAGGCGCGAAUGUACUCCUGCAGACGUUCCCAUGCUUCGGGAAUCGUAGAAAUCUUUCCACGAAGGGC
This 83-nucleotide small nucleolar RNA is filed under the name Sorghum bicolor (sorghum). Its description in RNAcentral is "Plant small nucleolar RNA R71". It matches the Rfam family "Plant small nucleolar RNA R71". Rfam says of the family: R71 is a member of the C/D box family of snoRNAs containing the C (UGAUGA) and D (CUGA) box motifs. The record is from Rfam by way of RNAcentral. Lineage: Eukaryota; Viridiplantae; Streptophyta; Magnoliopsida; Poales; Poaceae.